This 73-nucleotide transfer RNA is filed under the name bacterium. RNAcentral describes it as "tRNA-Thr". It matches the Rfam family "tRNA". From Rfam's summary of the family: Transfer RNA (tRNA) molecules are approximately 80 nucleotides in length. Their secondary structure includes four short double-helical elements and three loops (D, anti-codon, and T loops). Further hydrogen bonds mediate the characteristic L-shaped molecular structure. tRNAs have two regions of fundamental functional importance: the anti-codon, which is responsible for specific mRNA codon recognition, and the 3' end, to which the tRNAs corresponding amino acid is attached (by aminoacyl-tRNA synthetases). tRNAs cope with the degeneracy of the genetic code in two manners: having more than one tRNA (with a specific anti-codon) for a particular amino acid; and 'wobble' base-pairing, i.e. permitting non-standard base-pairing at the 3rd anti-codon position. The record is from RNAcentral. RNAcentral also lists the same sequence under 1 other name.
GCUGGUGUAGCUCAGUUGGUAGAGCGGCGCACUCGUAAUGCGCAGGUCAGCGGUUCAACCCCGCUCACCAGCU